UGGACUUCAGAUGACUCAGACUGACAUUUUUUGGCAGUUAAAAGGAGGUGCAAAUUCUUUCUGCUGUGGGUAUGGAAGUGCAGUUGAAAAGUAUUUUGUUUUUCAGCAUAAUGGGACUGCAGUCACUUCGGCAAAUCUCCAGGUUUGUUUUUGUAGGCUUCUGUGUCGCUGUGAUGUGAUGGGGCGGUUCAGGCUGAAGUGGUUCAGGAAGAACUCCUUCCUCCUGUACUGAGCCGCUUCUGGAUCAGGCAGAUUUCUGACCUCUACAGUAAAGCACGUAGAUACUGAUCCCUUCCCACCCGAAGAAGUCUGUGAUGACAUGAGGC
Gallus gallus (chicken) is the source of this 326-nucleotide long non-coding RNA. NCBI's taxonomy places the organism in Eukaryota, Metazoa, Chordata, Aves, Galliformes, Phasianidae. The record is from Ensembl.